AAAGAACCCCGGGAGGGGAGUGAAAGAGAACCUGAAACCAUAUGCCUACAAGAAGUCAGAGCCCGUUAAAGGGUGAUGGCGUGCCUUUUGUAGAAUGAACCGGCGAGUUACUGUAUGGAGCGAGGUUAAGCAGGAUAUGCGGAGCCGAAGCGAAAGCGAGUCUUAAGAGGGCGCGAGUUGCAUGCAGUAGACCCGAAACCGGGUGAUCUAGCCAUGACCAGGUUGAAGUUGGGGUAAAACCCGAUGGAGGACCGAACCGACCCCCGUUGAAACGUUGGCGGAUGAGUUGUGGCUAGGGGUGAAAUUCCAAUCGAACCCGGAGAUAGCUGGUUCUCCCCGAAAUAGCUUUAGGGCUAGCGUCGAGAGAAGAGUUGCGUGAAGGUAGAGCACUGAAUAUGUGAUGGCCCCAUCUCGGGGUACUGAGCAUAAUCAAACUGCGAAUGUCACGCCAACAUGCUCGGCAGUCAGACAGCGGGUGAUAAGGUCCGUUGUCAAGAGGGAAACAGCCCAGACCAUCAGCUAAGGUCCCAAAAUGUAUGCUAAGUGGAAAAGGAUGUGGGAUUUCUAAGACAACUAGGAUGUUGGCUCAGAAGCAGCCAUCCUUUAAAGAGUGCGUAACAGCUCACUAGUCGAAUGACUCUGCGCCGAUAAUUUACCGGGGCUAAGCAUACUACCGAAGCUAUGGAUCCCAAGGGAUGGUAGGGGAGCGUUCCAUGAACGGAGAAGUACGACCGAAAGGACGUGUGGAGAUCAUGGAAGAGAGAAUGCCGGUGUGAGUAGCGGAACGUGGGUGAGAAUCCCACGCACCGAAAACCCAAGGUUUCCAGAGGAAGGUUCGUCCGCUCUGGGUAAGUCGGGACCUAAGGCGAGGCCGAAAGGCGUAGUCGAUGGACAACAGGUAGAGAUUCCUGUACCCGUAUAUAUGUGAAGGAAUGACGGAGAGAGGAAGCUGCAGCCAGCGGCUGGAAGAGCUGGUGCAAGCGAGAUAUCGGGAUGGCAGGCAAAUCCACCAUCCGAAACGAGAAGGCGUGAAGCGUACGGAAAGCUACGGCGAGUACGGAAGGCAGUGGAGGAACUUCCAAGAAAAGUUUCUAACGUUAAGUAUAUAUGGCCCGUACCGAAAAUGGACACACAUGGGUGAGGAGAGAAUCCUAAGGUGAGCGAGAGAACUAUAGCUAAGGAACUCUGCAAAAUGACUCCGUAACUUAGGGAGAAGGAGUGCUCAUAGAGAUAUGAGCCGCAGUGAAACGGCCCAAGCGACUGUUUACCAAAAACACAGCUCUCUGCUAAGCCGCAAGGCGAAGUAUAGGGGGUGACGCCUGCCCGGUGCUGGAAGGUUAAGGGGAGGGGUUAACGCAAGUGAAGCCCUGAACUGAAGCCCCAGUAAACGGCGGCCGUAACUAUAACGGUCCUAAGGUAGCGAAAUUCCUUGUCAGGUAAGUUCUGACCC
RNAcentral lists this ribosomal RNA (1450 nucleotides) under human gut metagenome. Its description in RNAcentral is "bacterial LSU rRNA". It matches the Rfam family "Bacterial large subunit ribosomal RNA", at positions 518 to 1989 of the family's 2925-position model. The record is from RNAcentral.